GGACAAAAAAACAGACACCGCAUGUUCUCACUCACAGGAACACCAAGAGAAGGCGGAAAUCUUCAAGUCAGAAAGAGAGCUCGCUGAAACCUGACCAUGUUGGCACCCUGAUCUUAGACUUCCAGGCUCUGAAACUAUACUUGUUGCAUGGUUUCCAUUCUGUGCUGCCUUCUCUUCUGGACGAUGGGGUUAGGAUAGUGAAUGAGAAGGU
Molecule: long non-coding RNA, 211 nt
Filed under: Homo sapiens (human)
Lineage: Eukaryota; Metazoa; Chordata; Mammalia; Primates; Hominidae
Description: HSALNT0309381
Source: RNAcentral